UAAGGCCAUGCGAGUCGACGAGUUUAGGCUCGUGGCGUACGGCUCAGUAACACGUGGAUAACCUACCCUUAGGACUGGGAUAACCCUGGGAAACUGGGGAUAAUACUAGAUAGGCAAGCUUUCCUGGAAUGGUUUUUUGUUUAAAUGUUUUUUCGCCUAAGGAUGGGUCUGCGGCCGAUUAGGUAGUUGGUUAGGUAAUGGCUUACCAAGCCGUUGAUCGGUACGGGUUGUGAGAGCAAGAGCCCGGAGAUGGAACCUGAGACAAGGUUCCAGGCCCUACGGGGUGCAGCAGGCGCGAAACCUCCGCAAUGUGAGAAAUCGCGACGGGGGGAUCCCAAGUGCCAUUCUUAACGGGAUGGCUUUUCAUUAGUGUAAAAAGCUUUUGGAAUAAGAGCCGGGCAAGACCGGUGCCAGCCGCCGCGGUAACACCGGCAGCUCUAGUGGUAGCAAUUUUUAUUGGGCCUAAAGCGUCCGUAGCCGGUUUAAUAAGUCUCUGGUGAAAUCCUGUAGCUUAACUGUGGGAAUUGCUGGAGAUACUAUUAGACUUGAGACCGGGAGAGGUUAGAGGUACUCCCAGGGUAGAGGUGAAAUUCUGUAAUCCUGGGAGGACCGCCUGUUGCGAAGGCGUCUAACUGGAACGGUUCUGACGGUGAGGGACGAAAGUUAGGGGCGCGAACCGGAUUAGAUACCCGGGUAGUCCUAACUGUAAACGAUGCGGACUUGGUGUUGGGGUGGCUUUGAGCUGCUCCAGUGCCGAAGGGAAGCUGUUAAGUCCGCCGCCUGGGAAGUACGGUCGCAAGACUGAAACUUAAAGGAAUUGGCGGGGGAGCACCACAACGCGUGGAGCCUGCGGUUUAAUUGGAUUCAACGCCGGACAUCUCACCAGAGGCGACAGCUGUAUGAUAGCCAGGUUGAUGACUUUGCUUGACUAGCUGAGAGGAGGUGGCAUGGCC
RNAcentral lists this ribosomal RNA (953 nucleotides) under uncultured Methanobrevibacter sp. RNAcentral's name for it is "bacterial SSU rRNA". It matches the Rfam family "Archaeal small subunit ribosomal RNA", at positions 44 to 999 of the family's 1478-position model. Lineage: Archaea; Methanobacteriati; Methanobacteriota; Methanobacteria; Methanobacteriales; Methanobacteriaceae. The record is from RNAcentral.